CUUCAAUUCCCUCCAUAUGACCUUUUCUCCUCGUGGCUCAAGACCCCUGUCAACAAAAUGUUCCCUGCCACCUGGCAGGUCAUUGCAGACCAUUUCAAAAUGAACAAUGUAUAUGAUAUCUAGCGUGAAAGCAGCAGUGCAUGAUGAACAGGAGUGCCUCACGCCACAAGAGAUAAUGAAGAACUAGCGGCAACAUGGCGUCUUUCGAUGUGACAUCAGAAGAUUGUGGGGGAUUUCGCGCCAUGUUGGUUUUCACUGUGGCCGUGUAAACGGUUCACUUUCCACUUGGAGGAGGAUGUGCUGGGGAUGACAAUGAGAUGAGGGACGACAUUCAUGGGGGAACAUACCACUGCUCUUUCAACAACGCAUCUUUUAAAGAUGAAGAGGAGGAGAAGGUGGAUAAAGAACAGAUGAAGACACCGGCAGUUUGAUGUUGAGUAGUAUUCACACAAGACUGGAAGUCAGAUAUAAUCCAAGUACAGAUGAACACAGCACCAACCAUAGCUUGCUUGUUAGUUUUGAUUGUCAGAGGUAAAGCUUGACAUUUUUUGGUGUGUAUUGUAUCAUUUAAGUUUCAGAGAACAAUUAAACCACUGAAUUAGCUACAUGGUUUGGUAAUUAGUUAAACUAACUUCCACCAAACCAAUAAAAAAAAUGAUGUUCAACUUGUAGCUACUUCCGAAACUGCCGACCAUGUUGGCUUAAACCCAAACGUCUUCCACACCAAUGUGUGAGGUGUUUCUCCACUACCCAGAAGCACCCAGGGGGUAUUUGAGAUCCAGUCAGGAAGGGCUGUGCCUCGCCUGUGGGAGUCACGCUACCUGUAUGGUGUGUCUGGACAUGUGUCCCAAACACUCCCAUGCUUGCCCCACGAGUGUGAGGUCAUCCCGGGGGAAAUACAGUAUAUUGGUGAGCCGGUUUCCUGUUUCAUGUUCUCAUCACAAGCUUUUUAGUUCAGGAGUAGACUUAAUGAAAGCUAGACUUUAUACCAUAGAGCAUUUAAUGCCUGGAAAAAGCCAUUUUGGAUCCAAAGAGCACCUUUUUACAUAAAAAUGUUCAAUUUUCCCUAUUCUCUCUCAUCUUUCCUGUGCUCCCGGGAUGGGCUCCUCCCUCCCCAGAGCCCCUGUGCCCUCAGAUGAGCACCAACGAGCAGCUUGGACCAGAGUCUGAGUAUCUUGUUGUCUACGAUACACAGAGAGGUAUAGAAAGUGUCAAUCACUGAGCGGCUCU
Oncorhynchus tshawytscha (Chinook salmon) is the source of this 1230-nucleotide long non-coding RNA. The record is from Ensembl. NCBI's taxonomy places the organism in Eukaryota, Metazoa, Chordata, Actinopteri, Salmoniformes, Salmonidae.